Molecule: long non-coding RNA, 4305 nt
Organism: Eleginops maclovinus (Patagonian blennie)
Lineage: Eukaryota; Metazoa; Chordata; Actinopteri; Perciformes; Eleginopidae
Exons: 4
Source: RefSeq, a predicted model, not a curated record
GACAAUGUUAUUGUCUUCCAGGGAUUUCUCACUAGGUGGUCCGACUUUUAAAAACGCACAUACCUGAAAACUUUAAGUAUUUAAUAUGAAAGGCCAACUGCUAGCUAGCUGUAAGAAAAUCCUCUCCAAUCCCUCCACUCCGGUGUCUGUAAACAACCACUGUACUGGACUGAGGAAGAAAGUUAGCUGACCCAAGACUAACUAACACAUUGAAUAUCCGGUUUUUCUCUUAGAAACAUAACUCAAAUUGUAGUAGCGUAGAGGUGAGGCGCACAGGAAAGUGAAACGAAUGUGUUUUCCAGUUGAAACAGCUACUGCAAGUACUGUCGGGAAUAUAAACCCUUUUAAAUAAUAUUCUAGUUUAAGACUAAAUGUGUUGACUUUUAAUUUGAAAACACAAACCUUUAACCGGAAAUGCUCUUGCUUUCCCAUACACUUUACUUUUCCUUUACUGAGAAAUGUCGCGAUGCAUCCACAAUGUUCUAGAUUCCCACACGCGCAUGCGCCCCUCUGCAGCUAUGUGUACACACACUUUAAGCACAAAAAUAGACAUAUCCGCAUAAAAACUGCAACAUAAAUCACUACUCCAAAUAUUUGUUAUACUAUUUUUACUUUUAUAUAAAAGGUACAAAGGAGUAGUGGAGUUACAUAUUCACUGUAGAAACAUUUUGCAUUUAUAUGAAAUUUUCUCUUGACAUCAUUUAUCUUUAAUUUAGAUGUUACUAAUUUGCUUUUUUCAAAGACAAACUUCAACCUGAAAACUUUUCCAACAAGUGAAUGUAUUCUUUGAAACAUUUGUCUUCCUCUAGUGGGCGUUUAAAAAAAUAUCACUCACUCAGUCACCAAUAUAUGUUUUUAUGAAAAAGGAAUGUCAUGUGUUCAUUUGUAGAAGGUCCAGGCGGAGCUUAUUCGAAAGUCCUAAUACUGUUUGACACUUUAUAACAAUAUAUUGCAUUUUAUUUUUUCAAUUUAAAUGAAAGCAGUCAGAUAAUGCAAAGUAAAAAGUUAAACUACAAUGUUCCAUCUUAAAUUUGGAGAAAAUGUAUAAAGUGAAAUUAAAUAUAAGUAGGCCACUCAAUUAGUUACAAGUAUCUCACAACUGUCACGUGACUAAAUUGCUUUGAUACACUUUAAAAGCAUUAAAAGUAAGGUAGACUAUUUUAUGUCAAAAAGUGUUUUAGAAAAUAUCUUAUUAUUAUCUCAUAUUAUUUAAAAUAUCAAUAACGGCCUAUGGUGAAUUCAUUUAUUCUGUUGAUAGUGUCUGGAUUAUACUGUAUAUUUUUAUACCUGAUCCACACUGUAUCCAAUUUCUGUACUUCUGUUUAUAAUGUUUAUACCUCCCUAUCAUUUUCAUUGUGUAAAUACAUCAGUAUCUUUCUCUCACAUGUAUAUAUAUAUAUAUAUGUGUGUGUGUGUGUGUGUGUAUUAUUAUAUAAUACUUAAAUAACAGCCUUUUCUGCUUGUUUUGAACUUCUGGUUGGAUACAAACUGCAUUUUGCUGUCUUAGUACUUGGAACCAAUGACAGUAGAGUUAAAUCUAAUCCAACACGUUUUUUCUUUCAAUCAAUACACUUAGGUUAGGUAUAAAGUGAAAUUAAACAUACGUAGGCCACUCGAGUAAAAUACCUCAAAACUGUACUCACAUGAGUAAAUUGUUUAACUACACUUACCAUUAAAAGUGAGGUAGACUAUUUUAAAUUAAAGAUUGUGUUUACAGAAUAUCUUAACCCCAAUACAUUAGGGUUGGUCAGGUAGACGGGUGGUGAUGGAACUCAUCUUUUUCUUAUGUUUCUCAAUGCUGCACUGCAAGCUGAAUCAUAGAUCAUGCGUCAGUCGCAACUCUUCUCUUUUGUUACUAUUUUUAGGUGACAAACAUUCAAAACAUCAGACUGCGUUAACACUGAUAGGCAAUGAUAGCCCCUAUUCACAACAACAGCCCAUUCUACGUAGACUUAUGCGUAACAUCCCAUGUGCCUGAUGAUUAACAUCUUUAAGGUAACAACAGGUGCUUGUUAAAAUCCAGUGUUUCCUGUAUUGCUGGUUCUUCUUGGUUUUUCCCUUUGUACCUACGCACUAUGUGUGUGAUGUCUCAGAGCAGAAGGAACCUUUUCCCCCAUAUUAGUUACAAAUGAGCGCAGAAGCAGGAGAUAACUGAGAGAAAUCAAAAUGCUGGACUUGCUGGGAACUGUUGUUGGCCUCCUCUUCAUCAUAAUGUGCUUUUCGAAAGGACUCAAAGGGGGAAUUAAACCUCAAAAAAUACAAUUACCUGAAUCCUUUCCCAACAACAAGAAACAGAAGGAUCUGAGCGAAGAAGACGUGCAAUUAUUGGCAAGGAUCCUCUCAGUUGGAUUGGUGGACGCAGAUCCAAACUAUCUCCACCAUCUUAAAUGCUACAGAGACUUGCGUGGCCCCUGAUCUUCUUUGAAAAAAAAAGGCCACAUACAACAGUAUAUUGACAGCACACUGCUGUUCCUGAAUGUAUCCUUGGAGUUGUGAUGACACCAAAUCAAGGCUACUCAGCAUUGUGUUUUGGAUACCACAGGUCGAGUUAUUCCUGCUUCCAGAAGUUGAUUUGGAAAACAUGCACUUUAUUUAGGUCAAACGUGAUCUUGAAAAUGAUCAUGGAAUGACCUCCCCUUUGUGCGGAGGAGAACUGAAUGCCACCUAUAAUGGAUGUGGUGAUGCUGGUGGUGAAUACUGACUGUUUCCUUUUUGCUUCUCUGUAUACUACGUGGAAAAGAGCCUCUUAUAUCAUAUAGUCAACAUUCAUCUCUUUUGAUAUGAUAAUGAAUAUAUAGAAAAAGGCAGAACUUGUGCAGUUGCUCUUAAGUUGAACAUGCUUUACUAUGCUUGCUUAAAAUUAUUUUUUUCAAGUGUACAUGCCAUGUUAACUACCCCUUUGUUGAGUUGUAAAACUUAAUUCUGAUGUAUAAACUGUUUUCUACAGUUUCAGCACAUAUUAGACCAUUUAAAGUGAGACUAUGUAACUUUCCGAAACAGCAGCCGAGGCCACACUUGACAGAGAUUUUUUAAAAAGCCAGCUAGAUUUUAAGCUAAAUGCUAAACAGUUGUUUACUGCUUGCUAAACAGUAGUACUAACUCAAAUAGUAGCGUUAAGCUACAUUGUAGCAUAUAGCUAAAUGUUUUGAACAAAAAGUAAAUAAUUAGCAUCAAAAUACAAAAAAUACCAAAAGGAAGAGUACUCAUUCUGCACAGAGGCUCAUUUAGUAUUAGUAUAUACUUUUUUAUUGAAAUAUCGUUUUUGAUACACAAUGUGUUCAUCACUUUGAUGUUGCGGCUACUUAAGAAGGGGCUUAUUUUUGAAGUACAUAUAUACUGCCUGGUAGCUUUUGUGAAGGGUACAAUUAAGUUAAAGUAAUACAUGAUACAUUUUUGUUGAUUAUAUUUUGUAUUGUUAGUCUGAAUCUUCAAAAUAACUGAGGUUAUAAAAUAUAUGUUGUUGAGUAAAAAGUGCAAUAUUUUCAGCUGAGAAUUAAAAAGUAGCAGGAUGUGGAUGUAUGACAAAAUUGAACUUAAGAACAGAACUUGAUUAAAUGGGCUUAGUUAUUGUCCACGACUGGUCACGUCCUUACCUAGAAUGAAGGAGACAAAUGGGAGAGAUUAGACACAAAUGAACAUGUAGACCUCUGUUUUUGUCCAUUUAUAAACUUAAUGUGUCUUACUCCAGAACUGGCUGUUGAGCUUGUUUCCGAGCAUGUAGAGCAACGCCACCACAGACAUGUUGAAAAAGAAGAAGCCCCCCAAGCCAGGUGUGCUGAAGUGUGCGAGAAGGGGAUACACCCAAAUCCCCACUGACAAAUACACCCAUAUAAUCCUGCAGAACAUGUUUAGAGAGAGAAAAAAGUGAAACAGCAUUACUGUAUCUGUCGGAACAACCUGUACAGUCUUGUCUCAAAGAAUUAUUUAUCUUGUUGAUACAGUCAGUCAAAUAGCUUCCACACACUCAAACUGACAUCACUGAUUGUAAGAUUGUAUCACAGUAAAUAAUUUAAACCACAGCAUAUGUUUAUUGUUUGUACACGCAGAAACCAGGAUAUAAAGUUAGCAUUAAGGUAUGUGAGCCAACUGAAGUUUCAAAGUUACCCCUCAAGCUGCUGCAAUGGACUAGUCCAGACUAGUAAGAGUAAGAAAUUAGACACAUUUAGACACUGAUUUGCUUUUAGCUAUAUUAAGACAAUAUAAAAGACUCCCUCAGCUUCAAAUGAAAGAUGUUAAAUCAAGAAGGAAUCCGUUGUGAUAUAUGGGUUUUCCCUAUGUGCUUAAUAAAAGUUUUUUUUGUCAUGA